UCUGUGAGGUUAUCUGAUAUUGUUAAAGAAACCAAGUUAUUUUUUUCAUGUGCAUACAAUAUAUUAUGUGUAUGUAUAUAUGUAUGUAUGUAUGUAAUUACUUGUUACAACAACUACACAGUUUUCAUUUUUCACAAAAUAUAUUAUAGUACGAUAUAAAUAUAUUACGUUAAAAAAUAAUUUAUAAAUUUAAUAAUGUUAUCUAGCAAGUAAAUCCGUAAUAUUUUCAUGCGCGAAAAAAUUCGUAUAUUAAACAUCUAUAUAUCGUAAAACAUACGUUAUAUCAUCUAAUAAUGAGCAUAUAAUAAAUAAUGAUACUGAGAUUGCAAAAGAUAA
RNAcentral lists this long non-coding RNA (336 nucleotides) under Polistes fuscatus (common paper wasp). RNAcentral describes it as "uncharacterized LOC122525948". Lineage: Eukaryota; Metazoa; Arthropoda; Insecta; Hymenoptera; Vespidae. The record is from RNAcentral.